RNAcentral lists this ribosomal RNA (546 nucleotides) under Neodasys sp. 184616404. RNAcentral's name for it is "SSU rRNA". It matches the Rfam family "Eukaryotic small subunit ribosomal RNA", at positions 78 to 616 of the family's 1831-position model. Lineage: Eukaryota; Metazoa; Gastrotricha; Chaetonotida; Neodasyidae. The record is from RNAcentral.
AAGGUGAAACCGCGAAUGGCUCAUUAAAUCAGUUAUGGUUCCUUAGAUGGUGUUAUCCCACAUGGAUAACUGCGGCAAUUCCGGAGCUAAUACAUGCCAAGAAGCUCGGACCUUCGGGAAUGGGCGCUUUUAUUAGACCAAAACCAUCCGUCUCUCCGGAGACGGUGAAGCUGAUGAAUCUGCAUAACUUUGAGCGGAUCGCAUGGCCUUGCGCCGGCGACGGAUCUUUCAAAUGUCUGCCCUAUCAACUUUCGAUGGUACGUGAUAUGCCUACCAUGGUUGCAACGGGUAACGGGGAAUCAGGGUUUGAUUCCGGAGAGGGAGCAUGAGAAACGGCUACCACAUCCAAGGAAGGCAGCAGGCGCGCAAAUUACCCACUCUCGGCACGAGGAGGUAGCGACGAAAAAUAACAAUGCGGGACUCUUCGAGGCCCCGUAAUUGGAAUGAGUACACUUUAAAUCCUUUAACGAGGAUCAAUUGGAGGGCAAGUCUGGUGCCAGCAGCCGGGGUAAUUCCAGCUCCAAUAGCGUAUAUUAAAGUUGUUGC